CAGCAGCCGCGGUAAUACGGAGGGUGCGAGCGUUAAUCGGAAUUACUGGGCGUAAAGCGCGCGUAGGCGGUUUGUUAAGUCAGCUGUGAAAGCCCUGGGCUCAACCUGGGAACUGCAGUUGAUACUGGCCGACUAGAGUACGAGAGAGGGAGGUAGAAUUCCAUGUGUAGCGGUGAAAUGCGUAGAUAUAUGGAGGAAUACCAGUGGCGAAGGCGGCCUCCUGGCUCGAUACUGACGCUAAGGUGCGAAAGCGUGGGGAUCAAACAGGAUUAGAUACCCUGGUAGUCCACGCCGUAAACGAUGUCUACUAGCCGUUGGGAGACUUGAUUUCUUAGUGGCGCAGCUAACGCAAUAAGUAGACCGCCUGGGGAGUACGGCCGCAAGGUUAAAACUCAAAUGAAUUGACGGGGGCCCGCACAAGCGGUGGAGCAUGUGGUUUAAUUCGAUGCAACGCGAAGAACCUUACCAGGUCUUGACAUCCCUGAAACUUUCUAGAGAUAGAUUGGUGCCUUCGGGAAUCAGGUGACAGGUGCUGCAUGGCUGUCGUCAGCUCGUGUCGUGAGAUGUUGGGUUAAGUCCCGUAACGAGCGCAACCCUUGUCCUUAUUUGCCAGCGAGUAAUGUCGGGAACUCUAAGGAGACUGCCGGUGACAAACCGGAGGAAGGUGGGGACGACGUCAAGUCAUCAUGGCCCUUACGACCUGGGCUACACACGUGCUACAAUGGAACGCACAGAGGGCUGCAAAGGCGCGAGCUGGAGCGAAUCCCACAAAACGUUUCGUAGUCCGGAUUGGAGUCUGCAACUCGACUCCAUGAAGUCGGAAUCGCUAGUAAUCGUGAAUCAGAAUGUCACGGUGAAUACGUUCCCGGGCCUUGUACACACCGCCCGUCACACCAUGGGAGUGGGUUGCAAAAGAAGUGGGUAGACUAACCUUCGGGAGGUCGCUCACCACUUUGUGAUUCAUGACUGGGGUGAAGUCGUAACAAGGUAGCCGUA
This 996-nucleotide ribosomal RNA is filed under the name uncultured Gammaproteobacteria bacterium. RNAcentral's name for it is "bacterial SSU rRNA". It matches the Rfam family "Bacterial small subunit ribosomal RNA", at positions 509 to 1504 of the family's 1533-position model. The record is from RNAcentral. Lineage: Bacteria; Pseudomonadati; Pseudomonadota; Gammaproteobacteria.